GCCGUAGUUUCAGAGUGAAUAAAAAUCUUCUUCAUAUAAUGUAUAAUUAGCUAAUGGACUUCAUUACAAUGCAACAGAAUGUUGUGAUCCCUGCUAGCAUAGAUGGCUUUGAAAAUGGAUUUAGCAUUAGCUGGCUGCAGCUGUUAAAAAUAGAACACUCAAGGUUUAUGUCAGCCAAGGUUUGAUUUCCACAGCUGAGCAUCACUGACUGUUUCAUACAGUAUCUGAAGAUUAAACAGUACAGCCUCUUCUGGGCCAUUAACUAGAAAGCAAGUGUGUUUGCAGACCGAAGUCAUUAUGUCUCUCUGGUAAUGCUGCGCGCUAGAGAAGAUGCCACUAUGCUACGGAGGAGGAAAAGAAAAAGAAUGGGGAAAAUGCUUAAAAUGAAGCAUUGAGAGCAAUCAUGAAGGGGUAAUUUCCCCCCCCCACUCUUCAGCUAUUGUGUUUGGAAUUAAAGCCUUUCACAGUUA
Molecule: non-coding RNA, 470 nt
Organism: Pantherophis guttatus
Lineage: Eukaryota; Metazoa; Chordata; Lepidosauria; Squamata; Colubridae
Source: RefSeq, a predicted model, not a curated record